CGGGAGUCGGAGAUGAGAUCUGGCUCCCGUUGGAGCCCGGGCGAAGUCUACCUGCAAUUAAAGUCAGGGGCGAAGUCCGUCUCCCGUAGGAGUUCGGAUGAAACUUACCGAUAGUUGAAGUUGGGGACGGAGCCCGGCUCCCAUAGGAGUCCGGGCGGAGUCUACCUGCAGCCGGAGUCGGGGAUGAGGUCUGGCUCCCGUGGGAGUUCGGACGGAGUCUUCCCACAGCUGGAGUCGGAGAUGAGAUCUGGCUCUCGUAGGAGCCAGGGCAAAGUCUACCUGUAAUUAAAGUCAGGGGCG
RNAcentral lists this long non-coding RNA (300 nucleotides) under Elaeis guineensis (African oil palm). RNAcentral describes it as "long non-coding RNA (EGUI_LNC052026)". The record is from RNAcentral. Lineage: Eukaryota; Viridiplantae; Streptophyta; Magnoliopsida; Arecales; Arecaceae.